Molecule: ribosomal RNA, 245 nt
Filed under: uncultured bacterium
Lineage: Bacteria
Description: partial 16S ribosomal RNA
Rfam family: Bacterial small subunit ribosomal RNA
Source: RNAcentral
UACGUAGGGGGCAAGCGUUACCCGGAUUUACUGGGCGUAAAGCGCGUGUAGGCGGCUGGUCAAGUGUGAUGUGAAAUCCCACGGCUCAACCGUGGAACUGCAUUGCAAACUGGCGUGGCUAGAGUGCAGGAGAGGGAAGUGGAAUUCCGGGUGUAGCGGUGAAAUGCGUAGAUAUCCGGAGGAACACCAGUGGCGAAGGCGGCUUCCUGGCCUGCAACUGACGCUGAGACGCGAAAGCGUGGGGA